AACGUAGGUGGCGAGCGUUAUCCGGAUUUACUGGGCGUAAAGCGUGUGCAGGCGGCUUAUCAAGUGGUGUAUGAAAUAUCCAGGCUCAACCUGGAGGGGUUAUGCCAGACUGGUAGGCUAGAGUGCGAGAGAGGGGCGUGGAAUUCCGGGUGUAGUGGUGAAAUGCGCAGAUAUCAGGAGGAACACCGAUUGCGAAGGCAGCUCGCUGGGACGUAACUGACGCUGAGACGCGAAAGCGUGGGGAGCAAACAGG
Molecule: ribosomal RNA, 253 nt
Filed under: uncultured bacterium
Lineage: Bacteria
Description: partial 16S ribosomal RNA
Rfam family: Bacterial small subunit ribosomal RNA
Source: RNAcentral